AAACAUCGCCUCUUGCCAACUUACAUGUAUAAGAGGUCCAGCCUGCCCAGUGACUGUAUGUUCAACGGCCGCGGUAUUCUGACCGUGCAAAGGUAGCGUAAUCACUUGUCUUUUAAAUAAAGACUGGUAUGAACGGCACCACGAAGGUUCAACUGUCUCCUGCAUCCUAUCCAUAAAAUUGACCUCCCCGUGCAGAGGCGGGGAUAUAACCAUAAGACGAGAAGACCCUAUGGAGCUUCAAACUAAGGGCAACUGCCAAUAAUCUAUUAAACCGUUAGGAAUUAAUCAGUAAACAAGCAGAUAAAUGACCUAAAGUUUUCGGUUGGGGCGACCAUGGAGAAAAAGAAAUCCUCCUUGAAGAACAGGACACUCAAUCCUUAACCAAGAAUAACAGUUCUAAGUAACAAAAUUUUAGACUAUAAUUGAUCCAGUCUAACUGAUCAACGAACCAAGUUACCCUAGGGAUAACAGCGCAAUCCAUUUCAAAAGUUCUUAUCGACAAAUGGGUUUACGACCUCGAUGUUGGAUCAGGGCAUCCCAGUGGUGCAGCCGCUACUAAAGGUUCGUUUGUUCAACGAUUAAAGCCCUAC
This 590-nucleotide ribosomal RNA is filed under the name Xenopus muelleri (Muller's clawed frog). Its description in RNAcentral is "partial 16S ribosomal RNA". It matches the Rfam family "Bacterial large subunit ribosomal RNA", at positions 1811 to 2599 of the family's 2925-position model. Lineage: Eukaryota; Metazoa; Chordata; Amphibia; Anura; Pipidae. The record is from RNAcentral.